CCUACGGGAGGCAGCAGUGGGGAAUAUUGCACAAUGGACGAAAGUCUGAUGCAGCAACGCCGCGUGGAGGAUGACACAUUUCGGUGCGUAAACUCCUUUUAUAUAAGAAGAUAAUGACGGUAUUAUAUGAAUAAGCACCGGCUAACUCCGUGCCAGCAGCCGCGGUAA
Molecule: ribosomal RNA, 168 nt
Filed under: uncultured bacterium
Lineage: Bacteria
Description: partial 16S ribosomal RNA
Rfam family: Bacterial small subunit ribosomal RNA
Source: RNAcentral